RNAcentral lists this unclassified non-coding RNA (1120 nucleotides) under Hevea brasiliensis (rubber tree). The record is from RNAcentral. Lineage: Eukaryota; Viridiplantae; Streptophyta; Magnoliopsida; Malpighiales; Euphorbiaceae.
GUUUGCCCUAAUUUGGUGCAAACUUUUCUAUAUCCGCCGUCACCUAAUUUGUGAAUCUAUACUCAAAUUCAACUUCUUGUUUCUUCAAAGAUUAUAUUGAUUCUGCUGGAAUGAGGAGGAGAAGUUACAGCCCAUCACCACCAAGAGGUUAUGGCAGAAGAGGAAGGAGUCCAAGUCCCAGAGGUCGAUAUGCUGGUCAUGGUAGAGAUGGUCCGACUAGUCUUUUAGUUCGAAACCUUCGCCAUGAUUGUCGGCCAGAAGACCUCAGGAGGCCAUUCGGGCAAUUUGGCCCUGUGAAGGAUAUUUACUUGCCAAAGGACUACUACACUGGUGAACCACGAGGCUUUGGAUUUGUCCAGUUUGUGGAUCCUGCUGAUGCUGCAGAUGCUAAGUAUCAGAUGGAUGGACAAGGUUUUCAAGGUCGGCAACUGACUGUGGUUUUUGCAGAGGAAAACAGGAAAAAACCUACUGAAAUGAGAUCUAGGGAACGCAGUGGAAGUCAUAGGAGUAGCCGCAGCUAUGAUAGGAGACGUACUCCACCUUCACGUUAUGCAAGACCAGGAUCACACAGCCGUGAUUACUCUCCCAAGAGAAGGCCGUACUCGAGGUCUGUCUCACCUGAAGAGAAAAGAUACAGUCGUGAGAGGUCAUAUUCACGAUCCCCUCCUCGGGACCUGUCUCCUCCACCACAUAAUGGAUCAAGGAGUCGAAGUCAAACUCCAGUCAGAGAGCACCCACCAUACAAUGGCAGUCCAAGGAGCCGUAGCAGAAGUCCAGUUAGGAGGGAGCGUUCUCCAGUUAGGGGUCACAGCAGGAGCCCUAGUAGGAGCCGUAGCAGGAGCCCUGGUUGUGCUCCCUACUCACCAUGAUCCAAACUGCUAUGUGUCUUCAUGAUUCUGAACUCUUUAUGUCUUAAGUAGAUGAAUGCUGUAAUAUGGAUCUAUCUUUGGUGCUGUUUCUAAACUCGAAUAUCCGUUUUAUGCGACUCUUUUUCUUUUUGAUUCUGGGUAUUUUUAUGAGAUCUAUGUGGUAAACUCAAUUCCUUCAUGUGCUUCGUGUAUGCAUGGGAAAAUGGAUGCAUUUUAGUUUGUCUCGUUUAAGGAGUUAAAACAGACAAGGA